Mustela erminea (ermine) is the source of this 1437-nucleotide long non-coding RNA. RefSeq lists it as uncharacterized. The record is from RefSeq and is a predicted model, not a curated record. The transcript has 2 exons. NCBI's taxonomy places the organism in Eukaryota, Metazoa, Chordata, Mammalia, Carnivora, Mustelidae.
CUGUGGGUUUAAUGAGUACCGCUGCUUUGGGGCACAGAGCAGAGCUCAGCAAACGGCUGCCCUCCCCUUCAUCCCCUGCCCUGGGCUUCCAGCACAACUUGUUCCUGACAAGGAAUAGAACACAGAUGUUUCACUGGGGCGGGGGCAGAGGGCGGCCUUGGCAGAGACCGUGCUGGCUUCGGGGAGCAGCCGUGAUGCAGCCUCUCCUAGCAGGUGGGAGAAUGGUGAGGACCGAUGGUCAGCUGAGGCUUGGCUGUGGACCCGGUUCCUGGGUGAGUGGACCAGGAAGAGAGAGGAAAGCAAGGUGACCUGGUGGGGCUGACAGAGCCGGGACUGGGCGUCAGAGCAUGCAGCCUGUUUUCUCAUCUACCAAAUGCAAGAGAUGAUUCCCUCCACCUCUUCCCAUCCUGCUGGGUUUUGCAAAUUUUCAUGGUGGUUUCAAAUCCUGGGCUUUGAAGUCUGACAGAUCUGAGUUGGGAUCCUAAGUCUUCCACGUACUAGCUGUAGGUCCCGGGACAUGGUCUUUAACUUCUCUGAACCUCAGUCUUUGCAUCUGUAAAGUGGGGGAGAAUAAUAAGGUCUACUUUACCUGACUGUUGUGGUGACCAAGUGAGGGGGUGGGCGGAAGCCUCACAUGGUGCAUGGCCCAAGCCAAGUGCUUGGAAGGCUCUGACAUUGUAUCCCAAUAAUGGCCACAGCCCUUCCAGCUCCUCAAGAUCAAAGAAAAGAAUGAAGAUGGUACAUUAUGCUCCCAAAGUGUUUCCACAUCCACCAGCUUCACUUGAGCCUUGUAAGUGGGCCUUGUAAGUGGGCAAGGCAGGCCAGAUGUCCUCUGCCCCUAGAAAAAUUCAACUGCCCCCAUUCCCUGGAGUGAUACUUGGGCAGCUGGCAAAGAGGACAUAGCCACCUACUGCUACAGGUAUAAACUGGGAUGCCCACCCCCACCUGGGCCAGCUGUGGCCUGAACCUCUCAGCAGAUGACCUUGAGGCCUACUUCAGAGGAGGCCUAUCAGAAAGGCGUACCCUUAACCACAUACCCCAAACCUGUAAAGCUCCCUGCAUUCCUUCUUCCCCUUCCUGUGGCAUAGACUGGCACCUACCUCCACAACCAGGUUCUGGGUCCCUUUCUCCCUGGUCUCCUUCCUUUCUCCUCUGUCCUCAAUGCCUCCCUCUCUACCAGAUCUUCCCUAUCAGCAUCAAGAUGUCCCCAAGCUGUUCCAAUAAUAAAAGGGAGAAAUACUAGGUGCAGCACUUUAGUGCUGUGUUAAGUACUUCUAACCACCUCACCUAAUCCUAUGACCCCUUUGAGGCAGGGACUGUCUUCAUCAUCCCAUUUUACAAACCAGUUAAGUGACUUGCCCAGGGUCCCACAGAUGGUGCGUGGGGAUUCCUGAACUCAGCCUGUGCUCUAACCACACAUUCUACCCUUUCCCCAAA